This 110-nucleotide ribosomal RNA is filed under the name Enterobacter asburiae. RNAcentral's name for it is "partial 23S ribosomal RNA". It matches the Rfam family "Bacterial large subunit ribosomal RNA", at positions 2813 to 2925 of the family's 2925-position model. Lineage: Bacteria; Pseudomonadati; Pseudomonadota; Gammaproteobacteria; Enterobacterales; Enterobacteriaceae. The record is from RNAcentral.
CCCUGAGAGUCCUGAAGGAACGUUGAAGACUACGACGUUGAUAGGUCGGGUGUGUAAGCGCAGCGAUGCGUUGAGCUAACCGAUACUAAUGAACCGUGAGGCUUAACCUU